Molecule: ribosomal RNA, 465 nt
Filed under: uncultured bacterium
Lineage: Bacteria
Description: partial 16S ribosomal RNA
Rfam family: Bacterial small subunit ribosomal RNA
Source: RNAcentral
CCUACGGGAGGCAGCAGUGGGGAAUAUUGCGCAAUGGGCGAAAGCCUGACGCAGCGACGCCGCGUGAGGGAUGAAGGUCUUCGGAUCGUAAACCUCUGUCAGCAGGGAAGAACGGUCACUGUGCUAAUCAGCAGUGCAUUGACGGUACCUGCAAAGGAAGCACCGGCUAACUCCGUGCCAGCAGCCGAGGUAAUACGGAGGGUGCGAGCGUUAAUCGGAAUUACUGGGCGUAAAGCGGUCGUAGGCGGUAUGUCAAGUCAAGGGUGAACUCCCCGCGCUCAACGUGGGAACUGCCUUUGAAACUGGCAAACUGGAGUGUGUGAGAGGAUAGCGGAAUUCCAGGUGUAGGAGUGAAAUGCGUAGAUAUCUGGAGGAACAUCAGUGGCGAAGGCGACUAGCUGGAACAUAACUGACGCUGAGGCGCGAAAGCGUGGGUAGCAAACAGGAUUAGAUACCCGAGUAGUC